AUUGAACGCUGGCGGCAUGCCUUACACAUGCAAGUCGAACGGCAGCGCGGGGCAACCUGGCGGCGAGUGGCGAACGGGUGAGUAAUAUAUCGGAACAUACCCUAGAGUGGGGGAUAACGUAGCGAAAGUUACGCUAAUACCGCAUACGCACUAAGGUGGAAAGUGGGGGAUCUUCGGACCUCAUGCUCAUGGAGUGGCCGAUAUCUGAUUAGCUAGUUGGUGAGGUAAAGGCUCACCAAGGCGACGAUCAGUAGCUGGUUUGAGAGAACGACCAGCCACACUGGAACUGAGACACGGUCCAGACUCCUACGGGAGGCAGCAGUGGGGAAUUUUGGACAAUGGGGGGCAACCCUGAUCCAGCAAUGCCGCGUGAGUG
RNAcentral lists this ribosomal RNA (376 nucleotides) under uncultured bacterium. Its description in RNAcentral is "bacterial SSU rRNA". It matches the Rfam family "Bacterial small subunit ribosomal RNA", at positions 30 to 407 of the family's 1533-position model. The record is from RNAcentral.